RNAcentral lists this transfer RNA (70 nucleotides) under Pangasianodon hypophthalmus (striped catfish). RNAcentral's name for it is "tRNA-Asn". It matches the Rfam family "tRNA", at positions 6 to 65 of the family's 71-position model. From Rfam's summary of the family: Transfer RNA (tRNA) molecules are approximately 80 nucleotides in length. Their secondary structure includes four short double-helical elements and three loops (D, anti-codon, and T loops). The record is from RNAcentral. Lineage: Eukaryota; Metazoa; Chordata; Actinopteri; Siluriformes; Pangasiidae.
GUCUCUGUGGUGCAAUAGGCUAGCAUGUUUGGCUGUUAACCAAAAGGUUGGUGGUUCAAGCCCACCCACU